Molecule: transfer RNA, 66 nt
Filed under: Tuxedo cruralis
Lineage: Eukaryota; Metazoa; Arthropoda; Insecta; Hemiptera; Miridae
Description: tRNA-Phe
Source: RNAcentral
AUCUAAAUAGCUUAAUUUUAAAGCGUAAUAUUGAAGAUAUUAAUAUAAGUGAAUACUUUUUAGGUA